CCCUUAGAUGUUCUGGGCAGCACGCGCGCUACAAUGGUCUUCGCAAACGGAUGCAUUCUCGAAGGAGAAUGCCAAUCUUGGAAUCUAUGCCUUGGUCGGGACAGUUGCUUGCAAUUUUUCGACUCGAACCAGGAAGUCCUUGUAAUCGUGAUUCAUCACAUCACGAUGAAUACGUCCCUGCCCUUUGUACACACCGCCCGUCGCUCCUACCGAUCGAAGAGUUAGGUGAAUUGUUUUGAUCGAUAAGAUUUGACUAUGGUCAACUCUCGUUGUGAAAUUCUGUGAAUCUGACUGUUUAGAGGAAGGAAAAGUCGUAACA
Molecule: ribosomal RNA, 319 nt
Filed under: uncultured eukaryote
Lineage: Eukaryota
Description: partial 18S ribosomal RNA
Rfam family: Eukaryotic small subunit ribosomal RNA
Source: RNAcentral